This 792-nucleotide ribosomal RNA is filed under the name Olea europaea subsp. europaea. RNAcentral's name for it is "SSU_rRNA_microsporidia". It matches the Rfam family "Bacterial small subunit ribosomal RNA", at positions 594 to 1331 of the family's 1533-position model. The record is from RNAcentral. Lineage: Eukaryota; Viridiplantae; Streptophyta; Magnoliopsida; Lamiales; Oleaceae.
CAUUAACAAUUAUGGAAAAUACACUGUUUCUAUAACAAGUUUGAUCAAUGAGUGUAACAUAGUUUAGGAGAACCACAGACCAAGCUGGAGUACGAUAGGGGCAGAGAGAAUUUUCGGUGGAGCGGUGAAAUGCAUAGAAAUCGGAAAGAACACCAACGGCGAAAGUACUCUACUGGGCCAACACUGACACUGAGAGACGAAAGCUAGGGGAGCGAAUGGGAUUAGAUACCCCAGUAGUCCUAGCCGUAAAUGAUGGAUACUAGGCGUUGUGCGUAUCGACCCGUGUAAUGCUGUAGCUAACAUGUUAAGUAUCCCGCUUGGGGAGUACGUUCGCAAGAAUGAAACUUGAAGGAAUUGACGGGGGCCCGCACAAGCGGUAGAGCAUGUGGUUUAAUUCUAUGCAAAGCAAAGAACCUUACCAGGGCUUGACAUGCCUCGAAUCAUCUUGAAAGAGAGGGGUGCUUUCAGGAACGCGGACACAGGUGGUGCAUGGCUGUCGUCAAUUCGUGCCGUAAGGUAUUGGGUUAAGUCCCGCAACGAGCGCAACCCUUGUGUUUAGUUGCCCUCGUUGAGUUUGGAACCCUGAACAGACUGCCGGUGAUAAGUCGGAGGAAGGUGAGGAUGACGUCAAGUCAUCAUACCCUUUAUGCCCUGGACGACACAUGUGCUACAAUAGCCGGGACAAAGGAUCGCGAUCCCGUGAGGGUGAGCUAACCCCAAAAACCCAUUAGUAAUCUUUUUUAGAAAUCGAAUGGAUUCGGUCUUAUACAUACGCGAGGAAGCUAAUCAAAA